This 103-nucleotide non-coding RNA is filed under the name Acetobacterium bakii. Its description in RNAcentral is "TPP sequence". It matches the Rfam family "TPP riboswitch aptamer (THI element)". From Rfam's summary of the family: Vitamin B(1) in its active form thiamin pyrophosphate (TPP) is an essential coenzyme that is synthesised by coupling of pyrimidine and thiazole moieties in bacteria. The record is from Rfam by way of RNAcentral. Lineage: Bacteria; Bacillati; Bacillota; Clostridia; Eubacteriales; Eubacteriaceae.
UAAAAACGCUUGGGGUGCCGAAAGGCUGAGAGAAAACUAUGUUUUUAACCCAUUGAACCUGAUAUGGUUAGCACCAUCGUAGGGAAGGCAUUGAUUUUUAGGA